UACGAAGGGUGCAAGCGUUACUCGGAAUUACUGGGCGUAAAGCGUGCGUAGGUGGUGAGUUAAGUCUGUCGUGAAAGCCCCGGGCUCAACCUGGGAAUGGCGAUGGAUACUGGCUCGCUAGAGUGCGGUAGAGGAGAGUGGAAUUCCCGGUGUAGCAGUGAAAUGCGUAGAUAUCAGGAGGAACACCAAUGGCGAAGGCAGCUCGCUGGGACGGUACUGACGCUGAGACGCGAAAGCGUGGGGAGCAAACAGG
Molecule: ribosomal RNA, 253 nt
Filed under: uncultured bacterium
Lineage: Bacteria
Description: partial 16S ribosomal RNA
Rfam family: Bacterial small subunit ribosomal RNA
Source: RNAcentral